GGCUUUCUGGUAUGGCGCGGCCUUUGUCUCUUGCUGCCGCUGGAGCUCCAGAUCUCUUGUUCACUGCUCUGUGUUCUCUGCUCAUAGAGGCCCAGCCUCUGAGGCCCUUUGACCUGCAGGUAUUGGGAGAUCCACAGCCAAGAGCCAGGACCCCCUAGAAGUCUAGAAAUGAGUCUCACUCUGUUGCUGAGGCUGGGGUGCAAUGGCAUGAUCUCGGCUCACUGCAACCGCUGCCUCCCGGGUUCAAGCGAUUCUUCUGCCUCAGCCUCUUGAGUAGCUGGGAUUACAGACCUUAAACAGAUUCAGAGACCGUGGGGCCAACAAACUGAACUGGAGUAACAUGUGAAUUGAGUAGACAUGUAGACAAGAAAGUCUCCACUAUCCCCUUUCUACUCUUGCUGAAAUGCUCACUAAUGUGCAAGUAACACCUGCUGCUACUCCUGCCAUUCAGGACCUAAAUCUGUAGCUCCAUAUUUUGAAUCCAGAUCUUGAGAUUUGGGAAAUAAAAAACUUUUAUCUAAAAAGUGCAAGCACUUUUGGUUAUCAAACUCAGAGAGAUGUUAAAAUGAAAGAGCAGUUAACAUCUUUCUCUCCCCUUUGAACUAUGUAUUCAUCCCUUGAAACUGUUCACUAUUG
This 636-nucleotide long non-coding RNA is filed under the name Homo sapiens (human). RNAcentral describes it as "non-protein coding lnc-ZNF737-3:6". The record is from RNAcentral. Lineage: Eukaryota; Metazoa; Chordata; Mammalia; Primates; Hominidae.